RNAcentral lists this small RNA (550 nucleotides) under uncultured Alternaria. Its description in RNAcentral is "eukaryotic LSU rRNA". The stretch from base 177 to 330 matches the Rfam family "5.8S ribosomal RNA". Lineage: Eukaryota; Fungi; Ascomycota; Dothideomycetes; Pleosporales; Pleosporaceae. The record is from RNAcentral.
GGGAUCAUUACACAAUAUGAAAGCGGGCUGGAAUCCUUUGGGGUUACAGCCUUGCUGAAUUAUUCACCCGUGUCUUUUGCGUACUUCUUGUUUCCUUGGUGGGUUCGCCCACCAUAGGACAAACCAUUAAACCUUAUGUAAUUGCAAUCAGCGUCAGUAAAAAAAUUAAUAAUUACAACUUUUAACAACGGAUCUCUUGGUUCUGGCAUCGAUGAAGAACGCAGCGAAAUGCGAUAAGUAGUGUGAAUUGCAGAAUUCAGUGAAUCAUCGAAUCUUUGAACGCACAUUGCGCCCUUUGGUAUUCCAAAGGGCAUGCCUGUUCGAGCGUCAUUUGUACCCUCAAGCUUUGCUUGGUGUUGGGCGUCUUGUCUCCAGUUCGCUGGAGACUCGCCUUAAAGUAAUUGGCAGCCGGCCUACUGGUUUCGGAGCGCAGCACAGGUCGCGCUCUCUUCCAGCGAAGGUCAGCAUCCACAAAGCCUUUUUUUCAACUUUUGACCUCGGAUCAGGUAGGGAUACCCGGCUGAACUUAAGCAUAUCAAUAAGCGGGAGG